RNAcentral lists this unclassified non-coding RNA (1736 nucleotides) under Hevea brasiliensis (rubber tree). The record is from RNAcentral. Lineage: Eukaryota; Viridiplantae; Streptophyta; Magnoliopsida; Malpighiales; Euphorbiaceae.
GUCGUCUCUAACCCUUCAGUUUCACAUAAUUCAGAGUGUGAUUACUAGACGGAUCAUAGUGGCUUAGAAGAACAAAACUUUCACUACAGAAAGCAGGGAACAAGCGAAGCAGCAACAAAUUUGACAAUAGCUUGGAUGGCAUUAUUGGAUCACUCUCCUGGGAAUGCUGAUGGAAACCUUUUGUAUAGAUCGCCUAAAGGACAGAAUGUUUCCAGAACGAGAAAAUACAAUAUUAAACAUUUUGUGUUGCCUGGUAAUCCUCGAGCGUAUAUGACUUGAAUGCUGAAGCACAAGAGCCGGAGUAAUAUUUCCCACGUCCUAAUGAACUUCUCGUCGAAUCCAAUGGAAACAAUUUUGCUCUGGUAAUCCUCGAGCGUAUAUGACUUGAAUGCUGAAGCACAAGAGCCGGAGUAAUAUUUCCCACGUCCUAAUGAACUUCUCGUCGAAUCCAAUGGAAACAAUUUUGCUCUGGUUCUCGAGGAAAUGUUUUCUCCAGAGUCUCAAUGUAGUACAGCUUCCAUCACUUCACUGAAAAAUUCCAUUCGAACUCAUAGUUUUGUUAUGCUUGAUGAGGUCAGGUAUCAAUUUUUGUGGCCAUCAACUAAUGGAACUCGCCAAGAUAAGAUUCUGUCACACUUCUUAUGUUCAGGCAAUUGACGAUAGUCACAAAGUAGAAAUCUGAUGUGGUCCUGGAGACCAGCUUCUUUCACUCUCAUUUCUGCAAAUUUCAGCUGCUCCUCAGACAGAGUGAUGCCAGUGUAUUUACAUCCGCUUUGUUUCACAGUUUCAAUGGUUAAGGUUCCCCAGCCACAUCUAAUCUCAAGAAUGUGAUGCAUCUCAUCAAAUCUUGCUUUUUUUACGAGAGCAUGAACUUUCCUCAUCUGUGCCGCUCGCAAGUCUUCAUCUUCUGUCUCAAAUACUGCACAGGAGUAAAGCAUACUUUCAUCCAAGAACCAAGCCAACAUUUCAUUACUCACAAAAGGGAGGAGACCAACCAGGCUACCCUUAUUAGAAGCUCACUUCAAUUCUACAUGUUUCAAUUCCUCAGGACAAGUUUUAUGAAAUCCUCCAAGGACACCAUUAGGCUGGGAAAUUAAUGCGUAAUUAUGUCAUACCAAGUCAUAUGUUCUUGCGGGCUUGUGUAAGCGUAUUUUUCCUCAAAACAUGCUUGUAAAAAAGUUUUACAGAUGCAAUACUAGCCGUGAACAAUACUGGUGUCCACGAGCCCCUGUUCUUAUUCGAUUUUGAGACAGAUUUGUUUGUAUUGCUAUUGGCAAUCAACAGCAGGAUAAGAUUCAGGAGACCUUCAUUAGUAUCAACAAAAGAAAAAUCUCCAUCAAUGUAAGCAUCUGCGAGACCUAUAUCUGCCCGAGUCAUUACCUUCCAGUAAAACUGAGGAUCAUGAACUUGCAGAACAACUUUUAAAGUACAUUAUGGGCUACUUCCCUCAAAAGUAAUACUUGUGGAUCCUUCUAAUAACCUUGGAAAUCAUCACAAAGCAACCAAGACUAGCUAGAGAGACAGAGAAUGUACAUAUAUAAUAUUAGUGACAAAGCUAUACAUGGGGAAAUUCACGUUAAACAGCCAGCAGAGAUAAAGCGUCCAAGAAUCAUGUUAAUUGCUUCAACAACUGGAAAAUAAAAAUUUCACCAUCAAAUACCACAAGGAGGGAUGCACAGGCCAAUUGCUGUGAUUUGUUGAUUGGAUUGUUGGCAAGGGCAUCACAGGCUGCCUGC